This 1308-nucleotide ribosomal RNA is filed under the name uncultured Alphaproteobacteria bacterium. RNAcentral's name for it is "uncultured alpha proteobacterium 16S ribosomal RNA". It matches the Rfam family "Bacterial small subunit ribosomal RNA", at positions 33 to 1388 of the family's 1533-position model. The record is from RNAcentral. Lineage: Bacteria; Pseudomonadati; Pseudomonadota; Alphaproteobacteria.
ACGCUGGCGGCACGCCUAACACAUGCAAGUCGAACGAAGUAGCAAUACUUAGUGGCAGACGGGUGAGUAACAUGUAGGUAUCUGCCCUUUGGCCUGGAAUAACACGAGGAAACUUGUGCUAAUACCGGAUAAGUCUUUACGGAGAAAGCUUUAUGCACCAUUGGAUGAGCCUGCACUUGAUUAGUUUGUUGGUGGGGUAAUGGCCUACCAAGACUGUGAUCAAUAGCUGAUUUGAGAGGAUGAUCAGCCACAUUGGGACUGAGACACGGCCCAAACUCCUACGGGAGGCAGCAGUGGGGAAUCUUGCACAAUGGAGGAAACUCUGAUGCAGCGAUGCCGCGUGAGUGAAGAAGGCCUUUGGGUUGUAAAGCUCUUUCGUCGGGGAAGAAAAUGACUGUACCCGAAUAAGAAGGUCCGGCUAACUUCGUGCCAGCAGCCGCGGUAAUACGAAGGGACCUAGCGUAGUUCGGAAUUACUGGGCUUAAAGAGUUCGUAGGUGGUUGAAAAAGUUAGUGGUGAAAUCCCAGAGCUUAACUCUGGAACUGCCAUUAAAACUUUUCAGCUAGAGUAUGAUAGAGGAAAGCAGAAUUUCUAGUGUAGAGGUGAAAUUCGUAGAUAUUAGAAAGAAUACCAAUUGCGAAGGCAGCUUUCUGGAUCAUUACUGACACUGAGGAACGAAAGCAUGGGUAGCGAAGAGGAUUAGAUACCCUCGUAGUCCAUGCCGUAAACGAUGUGUGUUAGACGUUGGAAAUUUAUUUUCAGUGUCGCAGGGAAACCGAUAAACACACCGCCUGGGGAGUACGACCGCAAGGUUAAAACUCAAAUGAAUUGACGGGGACCCGCACAAGUAGUGGAGCAUGUGGUUUAAUUCGAAGAUACGCGCAGAACCUUACCAACACUUGACAUGUUCGUCGCGACUCUAAGAGAUUAGAGUUUUCGGUUCGGCCGGACGAAACACAGGUGCUGCAUGGCUGUCGUCAGCUCGUGUCGUGAGAUGUUGGGUUAAGUCCCGCAACGAGCGCAACCCUCACUUUUAGUUGCCAUCAUUAAGUUGGGCACUCUGAAAGAACUGCCAGUGAUAAGCUGGAGGAAGGUGGGGAUGACGUCAAGUCCUCAUGGCCCUUACGUGUUGGGCUACACACGUGCUACAAUGGUAUCUACAACAGGAAGCAAGACUGCGAAGUUAAGCAAAUCCCUAAAAGAUACCUCAGUUCGGAUUGCACUCUGCAACUCGAGUGCAUGAAGCUGGAAUUACUAGUAAUCGUGGAUCAGCGUGCCACGGUGAAUGCGUUCCCGGGUCUUGUACAC